GGAAUCUUGGACAAUGGGCGAAAGCCUGAUCCAGCCAUGCCGCGUGUGUGAAGAAGGUCUUCGGAUUGUAAAGCACUUUAAGCUGGGAGGAAGGGCAGUAAGUUAAUACCUUGCUGUUUUGACGUUACCAGCAGAAUAAGCACCGGCUAACUUCGUGCCAGCAGCCGCGGUAACACGAAGGGUGCAAGCGUUAAUCGGAAUUACUGGGCGUAAAGCGCGCGUAGGUGGUUCAGUAAGUUGGAUGUGAAAUCCCCGGGCUCAACCUGGGAACUGCAUCCAAAACUGCUGAGCUAGAGUACGGUAGAGGGUGGUGGAAUUUCCUGUGUAGCGGUGAAAUGCGUAGAUAUAGGAAGGAACACCAGUGGCGAAGGCGACCACCUGGACUGAUACUGACACUGAGGUGCGAAAGCGUGGGGAGCAAACAGG
This 426-nucleotide ribosomal RNA is filed under the name uncultured bacterium. RNAcentral's name for it is "bacterial SSU rRNA". It matches the Rfam family "Bacterial small subunit ribosomal RNA", at positions 358 to 776 of the family's 1533-position model. The record is from RNAcentral.